This 158-nucleotide unclassified non-coding RNA is filed under the name uncultured fungus. RNAcentral's name for it is "sequence contains 18S rRNA gene, ITS1, 5.8S rRNA gene, ITS2". Lineage: Eukaryota; Fungi. The record is from RNAcentral.
GCCCUCGCAAUCAUACAUUCCGUAUACAUUCGAUGGAGUUUUAGAAAAGAAAAACAUAGGUCGGCAGACCUACAACAGGUGCACAUGGUGUGGAAAGGGUCAGAAAUAGUUCAAGGAGUGCACGUGCGUGGCCGCCAGCAACAUCCUCGAGUUUUUUU